RNAcentral lists this long non-coding RNA (295 nucleotides) under Phoenix dactylifera (date palm). Its description in RNAcentral is "long non-coding RNA (PDAC_LNC001536)". Lineage: Eukaryota; Viridiplantae; Streptophyta; Magnoliopsida; Arecales; Arecaceae. The record is from RNAcentral.
AUAAAACCUAGUUACUUGCAUGGCUCUAUGGGAUUAUUAACAAGAAAUUGGAUUAUAAUAUAAUGUUAUUGGAUGAUUUUCACUUUAUUACAGGUGAAUUGCUUUUGGAGGUGUUUGUGAUGCAAUACAUUCAGUAAGGGGUCUUCUAGAGCUAUUUGGUUGAGGCCUUGUGCUUGUAAAUUGUAAGACUGUGCCCCAGGAAGCCCAUCAGGCUUCUGCAUCCCAGCAUCUUACCUUUAAGGCUCAAUUACCAUUUAAUAGUAUCAGCAGCAGCAGUAGCGAUGGUAAUAAUUNN